Molecule: non-coding RNA, 74 nt
Organism: Henosepilachna vigintioctopunctata
Lineage: Eukaryota; Metazoa; Arthropoda; Insecta; Coleoptera; Coccinellidae
Source: the annotation of a GenBank genome assembly
GUCUCAUUAGCUUAGUCGGGAAAACACCCGACUAUGAUGCGGGUAGGAUUCGGGUUCGAAUCCCGGUGACGGCG